UACGGAGGUGGCAAGCGUUGCUCGGAAUCACUGGGCGUAAAGGGCGCGUAGGCGGGGAGGUAAGUCGGGUGUGAAAUCCCUCGGCCCAACCGAGGAACUGCGCCCGAGACUGCUUCUCUUGAGUCCCGGAGAGGAAGGUGGAAUUCCAGGUGUAGCGGUGAAAUGUGUAGAGAUCGGGAGGAACACCGGUGGCGAAGGCGGCCUUCUGGACGGUGACUGACGCUGAGGCGCGAAAGCGUGGGGAGCAAACGGG
RNAcentral lists this ribosomal RNA (253 nucleotides) under uncultured bacterium. Its description in RNAcentral is "partial 16S ribosomal RNA". It matches the Rfam family "Bacterial small subunit ribosomal RNA", at positions 524 to 776 of the family's 1533-position model. The record is from RNAcentral.